CCGAGUAUAUGCGCCCCUGAUAAAGCACUGAUACUAACCACCGUAAGCUGUUGUGAUUGACCCUUUGGGGUUAACAUGGUGGCAAGCCGUGGGGCCUGAUGUGUGGUUCAAGCGAUGGGGUGACACAGUGGGGUAGCCAUGCCGCUUAGUGGAUUGUUGGUGUAAGCGUGUAGGUGAUGGUGUAGGUAAAUCCGCACUUGUUAUGCUGAGACGUGAUGCGUAGCCUUAAUUGGUGAAGUUGGUGAUCCCGUGCUGUCGAGAAAAGCCUCUAGCGAUGUAUAUACUCGGCCCGUACCCCAAACCGACACAGGUAGUCAGGUUGAAAAUACUAAGGCGUUCGGGUGAACUGUGGUUAAGGAACUCGGCAAAAUGCCCCCGUAACUUCGGGAGAAGGGGGACCCUAUGGCGUGAACACCCAUUUGCGGUGGGAAGCGUUGUGGGGUCGCAGAGAAUAGAGGGAAGCGACUGUUUAUCAAAAACACAGGUCCAUGCGAAGACGUUAAGUUGAUGUAUAUGGACUGACGCCUGCCCGGUGCUGGAAGGUUAAGAGGACCGGUUAAUCAAGCUUUGCUUGGUGAAGCUGAGAAUUUAAGCCCCAGUAAACGGCGGUGGUAACUAUAACCAUCCUAAGGUAGCGAAAUUCCUUGUCGGGUAAGUUCCGACCUGCACGAAUGGCGUAACGACUUCCCUGCUGUCUCAACCACAGGCCCGGUGAAAUUGCACUACGAGUAAAGAUGCUCGUUACGCGCGGCAGGACGAAAAGACCCCGGGACCUUCACUAUAGCUUGGUAUUGGUGUUCGGUUCGGUUUGUGUAGGAUAGGUGGGAGACUAUGAGACGUGUGCGCCAGCACGCGUGGAGUCGUUGUUGAAAUACCACUCUGAUCGGAUUGGAUACCUUAACCUUGGCCCAUGAUCUGGGUUGGGGACAGUGCCUGGUGGGUAGUUUAACUGGGGCGGUUGCCUCCCAAAAUGUAACGGAGGCGCCCAAAGGUUCCCUCAGCCUGGUUGGCAAUCAGGUGGUGAGUGUAAGUGCACAAGGGAGCUUGACUGUGAGAGUGACAGCUCGAACAGGGACGAAAGUCGGGACUAGUGAUCCGGCACCUACUUGUGGAUGUGGUGUCGCUCAACGGAUAAAAGGUACCCCGGGGAUAACAGGCUGAUCUUCCCCAAGAGUCCAUAUCGACGGGAUGGUUUGGCACCUCGAUGUCGGCUCGUCGCAUCCUGGGGCUGGAGUAGGUCCCAAGGGUUGGGCUGUUCGCCCAUUAAAGCGGCACGCGAGCUGGGUUCAGAACGUCGUGAGACAGUUCGGUCUCUAUCCGCCGCGCGCGUUGAAACUUGAAGAAGGCUGUCCCUAGUACGAGAGGACCGGGACGGACGUACCUCUAG
This 1387-nucleotide ribosomal RNA is filed under the name Corynebacterium striatum. Its description in RNAcentral is "partial 23S ribosomal RNA". It matches the Rfam family "Bacterial large subunit ribosomal RNA", at positions 1410 to 2712 of the family's 2925-position model. The record is from RNAcentral. Lineage: Bacteria; Bacillati; Actinomycetota; Actinomycetes; Mycobacteriales; Corynebacteriaceae.